Long non-coding RNA from Toxorhynchites rutilus septentrionalis, 351 nucleotides. RefSeq lists it as uncharacterized. Lineage: Eukaryota; Metazoa; Arthropoda; Insecta; Diptera; Culicidae. The transcript has 2 exons. The record is from RefSeq and is a predicted model, not a curated record.
AUUCAGCUGAAAAUGGUCAAAUCUCGAAAUACUCUUGGAUCUAAACUCAGAAAUGUUAGGAAAGAUAACAAAAUUAUCAGUGGAAAAAUUGAGAAGAGAGAUAUUGAUACCAAUUCGGGGGAACACAGCGGGACUAAUAACCACCCUUUGCGUUAUAUCCCAGUGGCGUCGCAUUAUCGCAAAGUCAAGAAAUCUACGAUAACUACACUUUAUCGGAGUAUCGAUGGGAAGGAAGAGAAAACAACUACCGAAACCGUUAAGCAAUCGGCAUCAAGAUUAUUUCAUCAUGUCUAAUUCGAAAGCCGUUUCGGACUGUUAGUCAAUCUAAAAUACAAAAAGGGUACAACUAAA